RNAcentral lists this ribosomal RNA (453 nucleotides) under uncultured Cellulomonas sp. RNAcentral's name for it is "bacterial SSU rRNA". It matches the Rfam family "Bacterial small subunit ribosomal RNA", at positions 929 to 1382 of the family's 1533-position model. Lineage: Bacteria; Bacillati; Actinomycetota; Actinomycetes; Micrococcales; Cellulomonadaceae. The record is from RNAcentral.
GCGGCGGAGCAUGCGGAUUAAUUUCGAUGCAACGCGAAGAACUUACCAAGGCUUGACAUACACCGGUAACGCCCAGAGAUGGGUGUCCCUUUGUGGUCGGUGUACAGGUGGUGCAUGGUUGUCGUCAGCUCGUGUCGUGAGAUGUUGGGUUAAGUCCCGCAACGAGCGCAACCCUCGUCCUAUGUUGCCAGCGGGUCAUGCCGGGGACUCAUGGGAGACUGCCGGGGUCAACUCGGAGGAAGGUGGGGAUGACGUCAAAUCAUCAUGCCCCUUAUGUCUUGGGCUUCACGCAUGCUACAAUGGCCGGUACAAAGGGCUGCGAUACCGCGAGGUGGAGCGAACCCCAGAAAGCCGGUCUCAGUUCGGAUUGGGGUCUGCAACUCGACCCCAUGAAGUCGGAGUCGCUAGUAAUCGCAGAUCAGCAACGCUGCGGUGAAUACGUUCCCGGGCCUU